AAAAGCUCAAAUUUGAAAUCUGGCUCUUUUAGAGUCCGAAUUGUAAUUUAGAGAAGUGUUACCCGCGCUGAACCGUAUAUAAGUCCUUUGGAAUGAGGCGUCAUAGAGGGUGAGAAUCCCGUCUUUG
Molecule: ribosomal RNA, 127 nt
Filed under: Tricholomataceae sp.
Lineage: Eukaryota; Fungi; Basidiomycota; Agaricomycetes; Agaricales; Tricholomataceae
Description: partial large subunit ribosomal RNA
Rfam family: Eukaryotic large subunit ribosomal RNA
Source: RNAcentral